This 497-nucleotide ribosomal RNA is filed under the name uncultured bacterium. RNAcentral's name for it is "partial 16S ribosomal RNA". It matches the Rfam family "Bacterial small subunit ribosomal RNA", at positions 28 to 507 of the family's 1533-position model. The record is from RNAcentral.
GAUGAACGCUGGCGGCGUGCCUAAUACAUGCAAGUCGAGCGAACAGACGAGGAGCUUACUCCUCUGACGUUAGCGGCGGACGGGUGAGUAACACGUGGAUAACCUACCUAUAAGACUGGGAUAACUUCGGGAAACCGGAGCUAAUACCGGAUAACAUGUUGAACCGCAUGGUUCAACAGUGAAAGACGGUCUUGCUGUCACUUAUAGAUGGAUCCGCGUCGCAUUAGCUAGUUGGUAAGGUAACGGCUUACCAAGGCAACGAUGCGUAGCCGACCUGAGAGGGUGAUCGGCCACACUGGAACUGAGACACGGUCCAGACUCCUACGGGAGGCAGCAGUAGGGAAUCUUCCGCAAUGGGCGAAAGCCUGACGGAGCAACGCCGCGUGAGUGAAGAAGGUCUUCGGAUCGUAAAACUCUGUUAUUAAGGAAGAACAAAUGUGUAAGUAACUAUGCACGUCUUGACGGUACCUAAUCAGAAAGCCACGGCUAACUACGUG